This 446-nucleotide ribosomal RNA is filed under the name uncultured bacterium. Its description in RNAcentral is "partial 16S ribosomal RNA". It matches the Rfam family "Bacterial small subunit ribosomal RNA", at positions 338 to 795 of the family's 1533-position model. The record is from RNAcentral.
CCUACGGGAGGCAGCAGUCGAGAAUCAUUCACAAUGGGGGAAACCCUGAUGGUGCGACGCCGCGUGGGGGAAUGAAGGUCUUCGGAUUGUAAACCCCUGUCAUGUGGGAGCAAAUUAAAAAGAUAGUACCACAAGAGGAAGAGACGGCUAACUCUGUGCCAGCAGCCGCGGUAAUACAGCGGUCUCAAGCGUUGUUCGGAUUAACUGGGCGUAAGGGGUGCGUAGGCUGUUUCGUAAGUCGUGUGUGAAAGGCGCGGGCUCAACCCGCGGACGGCACAUGAUACUGCGAGGCUAGAGUAAUGGAGGGGGAACUGGAAUUCUCGGUGUAGCAGUGAAAUGCGUAGAGAUCAAGAGGAACACUCGUGGCGAAGGCGGGUUCCUGGACAUUAACUGACGCUGAGGCACGAAGGCCAGGGGAGCAAAAGGGAUUAGAUACCCUUGUAGUC